Molecule: unclassified non-coding RNA, 163 nt
Filed under: uncultured Ascomycota
Lineage: Eukaryota; Fungi; Ascomycota
Description: sequence contains ITS2
Source: RNAcentral
CAACCCCUCAAGCUCUGCUUGGUGUUGGGGCCCCUACGUGCGCCGUAGGCCCCGAAUUCUAGUGGCGGGCUCGCCGCGAAACCGAGCGUAGUAGUAUUACCCUCGCUCAGGACGUCGCGGUGGGCGCCGGCCGUGAAAGAGAACCUAUUUAAAAUGCAAUACA